CUGGUGCAGAUGGACAAGGAAUGGUGGCUUGACACCCUGGCUGACAUCUUUAAAGAUUUCACGAGACUUUAGGAAGCUAUAUCCAGAGGCAGACAGAAAAACCUUUUGAAGACUGGGCUACAAUUGCUGACCGAAUUCUUGCCUAUGCCCUGCGAGAUGGAAAGGUGCAUUUAGAGCUGGGUGACAUGACUCCAAAUGCUAAAGGGGAGAGUGCUUUCAAAGUCCUGCCCACUCUGCUUCCCCCAUCAAUAUACAAGAAAGGCGGAGAGGUCUCCAGACCC
Molecule: long non-coding RNA, 281 nt
Filed under: Sinocyclocheilus anshuiensis
Lineage: Eukaryota; Metazoa; Chordata; Actinopteri; Cypriniformes; Cyprinidae
Description: lncRNA (ENSSANG00000011100.1)
Source: RNAcentral